AUGGGAAAAGAAGAAGCCAGCCACGACAAAACAAGAGUCGAUUCCAGGCUAAGUCGUCGUCUAAGUUGCCCUGAACGUGGGGUGCAACAGCCGACCGAGCUCCUCGUCUUCCGCGUCCAGCGGCCCGCCGGUCUCAUUCCUGACGCGCUGCACGGCGGUGCCGUUGAGCGACUCGUGGCCGAACCCGUACAGCCUCAGUAUCUGGUCGUCGGCGAAGUUGAAGGCGCGCUCCAUCCCGAGGCGGCAGCGGUCCGCCGGAUAGCUGUCGGCGUACCGCCGGCACGGCUUGCACCCGACGAAGUGCGUCACGAGCGGCCAGGCGCCCUCCCGCCGCAGCUCCUCGUACCUGUCCACGAUGAGCUCCCAGAAGCCGUUGAGCUCGUACGAGUUCUCGAAGAAGACCUUGUCCCCCCACCUCUCCCGCUGCGUGACGAGCAGGUAGAUGAGCGCCGACUGGUCGUCGGCCUCGAACGGCGGGCGGCCGGAGAGCUCCCUGGCGAAGAGCUCGCCGUAGCUGUCGCGCACGGGGCCGCGGGGCCCCAUGGGUGCCAUCGCGUGGAGGAGGUCGAGCGACCACUGGCAGUUGCGGAUGAGGAUGCUGCCGGUGUUGACGCCCACCCAGCUCUUCUCCUCGUACACCUUGGCCUCCCAGCCGUGGAGCACCAGGUUGUGCGCCGCGUAGCGCUCCCACGGCAGCUCGAACCGCAUGUCCGUGAACACCGCGUCCGAGUCCACCCACCACAGGAGCUCCACCUCCGGGUGCGCCAUCAUCAGCGACCGCAGCAGCGGCAGCUUCGCCCAGAACCCGGUCAUCUCCGCGUCCAGGAACGCCGUGUUGUAGUACACCUCCAGGCCGUGGACGCGGCAGUAGUCCGCCUUGUUCUUGAACGCGCGCAGCAGCAGGUGGUCGCCGUCCGGGUCGGGGCACCGUGCCGGCGCGGACCCGGUCACCACCAGCACCCGCGGCCGGCCCGCGGGCGGCACGCGCGCGGGGAACUCCGGGUGCGCGGCGAGCCACGCGGACCGGCGCGCGUCGUAGUCCAGGAUGGUGCGGCCCAGCGAGUAGGGCGGGUCCGUGAGCUGCCGGGGCGGCGGGAGGCCGAUGUCUUCGUCGCUCACGUUGGCGGCUGCGGGCGGCACCGCUGGCGGAGCUGCGGUGGCAAUGUGGAUGGGGUUGCUGAACACGACGCGGAGGCUGGGGAGGGUGAGGAUGGAGUCGGUCGGGCCGAGGAUGAGGAGCAGCGCGCCGGUGAGCAAGAGAAGGAACACGAGGGGGAUGGUGGUGCUUCCCGCUGCCGGGCAGCCGUAGUGCGGCCGCCAGCGCACGCCGUUGGCCGGCUUGCCGUCGUGCUGCUCCGCCAUCACUGCUAUGCUGUCGCUAGCCACAGAAGCUGUCCGGCGCCGCGCGUUGCACGCACCUUCCAUCGGCGAUGGUUUAACCAUCAUGUGGCGAACGUCGUCAACGGGAGAGGGGAGUCGAGCUCGAGUGGUGCAUGGCACGCUCUUGUUCCCACUUCCCACUACGAACCAAGUAAGAAUGGGGAUCACGAUGAGGGAGGGAAGGAGGGGGUACCGUAG
RNAcentral lists this ribosomal RNA (1578 nucleotides) under Triticum aestivum (bread wheat). RNAcentral describes it as "partial small subunit ribosomal RNA". The record is from RNAcentral. Lineage: Eukaryota; Viridiplantae; Streptophyta; Magnoliopsida; Poales; Poaceae.